UUAACUCUAAGGUUGAAAUGCCAUAAUAUCUCAAUCAUUCUUUUCUUUGCAUUGUUUACCAUCACUUGUGUCAUAUACACUACUAUAUUCUUGGACUCAUUCACUAAUGCCACACUUGUUCUCUAAGUGUUCAACAUGCCAUAAGUGUUUCCACUACACUAAUCAUAUGCCACUCGAUCUAUUUGACAUCCUACUUGUCCACAUCGCAUAUCAUAGUUCAUACGUUAUUGUUUUCCAACGUCGAGUUCUCUAAUUCACCUAGAGUUUAUCGACCCAAGUUCAACAUGCAAAUGUCAAUUAACAUAAUCCUCUAUAUGUCAACAUGCAUAGUUCAUCUAUCAUAUGCAAUAUGUCAUCAUGUAUAUAUCUCCAUUUAACAUAAUCCACAAUAUGUUAAUUCACAAUAUGUCAUCAUGCACAUAUACCAACUAGCAUAUUUCUAAUAAUAUCAACAUUCAUAUGUUCUUUAGCAUUUCAUGCACAUGCAUACUUUAGCAUCUAGAUCAUUCAUUCUCUUAGCAUAUAGCUUAUGUAUUCUUUAUUAAUAUCUUAUUUAUGCAUUCUUGAUUAGCAUAAUCUUGUACAUUCAUUUACUUUACAAUCAACUACCAAUGCAAUUAGCCAUCAUAAUGUAUGUAUGCAUCAAUUAGAAAACCAUACUCCACUUCGACAUGGAAGCGACCUAAUCGCUUCGGUGAGCACAACCCACCUCGUAAUGCUCUCCGAUUGUUGUAGUCACUUGCAAUCGGCCUCCCGCGGCACCCGGCACCCGGUUCGGCCCGAACUCUCGCGCGACCACCCGAACGGCCUCCAAUCCACGAUCCGGAAAUUAAAGGUCUUCGCUUAUGUGUCACAGUGCUCCAAAUCCGUUUUCAUAAUUUUACGAAG
RNAcentral lists this long non-coding RNA (888 nucleotides) under Ananas comosus (pineapple). RNAcentral's name for it is "long non-coding RNA (ACOM_LNC023331)". The record is from RNAcentral. Lineage: Eukaryota; Viridiplantae; Streptophyta; Magnoliopsida; Poales; Bromeliaceae.